RNAcentral lists this non-coding RNA (22 nucleotides) under Arabidopsis thaliana (thale cress). The record is from RNAcentral. Lineage: Eukaryota; Viridiplantae; Streptophyta; Magnoliopsida; Brassicales; Brassicaceae.
GUUACGUCAUGGGGAAGGUUGU